ACUCCUACGGGAGGCAGCAGUGGGGAAUCUUAGACAAUGGGCGCAAGCCUGAUCUAGCCAUGCCGCGUGAGUGAUGAAGGCCUUAGGGUCGUAAAGCUCUUUCGCCUGUGAUGAUAAUGACAGUAGCAGGUAAAGAAACCCCGGCUAACUCCGUGCCAGCAGCCGCGGUAAUACGGAGGGGGUUAGCGUUGUUCGGAAUUACUGGGCGUAAAGCGCACGUAGGCGGAUUGGAAAGUUGGGGUGAAAUCCCGGGGCUCAACCCCGGAACGGCCUCCAAAACUCCCAGUCUGGAGUUCGAGAGAGGUGAGUGGAAUUCCGAGUGUAGAGGUGAAAUUCGUAGAUAUUCGGAGGAACACCAGUGGCGAAGGCGGCUCACUGGCUCGAUACUGACGCUGAGGUGCGAAAGUGUGGGGAGCAAACAGGAUUAGAUACCCUGGUAGCGAG
Molecule: ribosomal RNA, 444 nt
Filed under: uncultured bacterium
Lineage: Bacteria
Description: bacterial SSU rRNA
Rfam family: Bacterial small subunit ribosomal RNA
Source: RNAcentral